Molecule: ribosomal RNA, 1536 nt
Filed under: Klebsiella pneumoniae
Lineage: Bacteria; Pseudomonadati; Pseudomonadota; Gammaproteobacteria; Enterobacterales; Enterobacteriaceae
Also listed under: 1 other name
Description: bacterial SSU rRNA
Rfam family: Bacterial small subunit ribosomal RNA
Source: RNAcentral
UUGAAGAGUUUGAUCAUGGCUCAGAUUGAACGCUGGCGGCAGGCCUAACACAUGCAAGUCGAGCGGUAGCACAGAGAGCUUGCUCUCGGGUGACGAGCGGCGGACGGGUGAGUAAUGUCUGGGAAACUGCCUGAUGGAGGGGGAUAACUACUGGAAACGGUAGCUAAUACCGCAUAAUGUCGCAAGACCAAAGUGGGGGACCUUCGGGCCUCAUGCCAUCAGAUGUGCCCAGAUGGGAUUAGCUAGUAGGUGGGGUAACGGCUCACCUAGGCGACGAUCCCUAGCUGGUCUGAGAGGAUGACCAGCCACACUGGAACUGAGACACGGUCCAGACUCCUACGGGAGGCAGCAGUGGGGAAUAUUGCACAAUGGGCGCAAGCCUGAUGCAGCCAUGCCGCGUGUGUGAAGAAGGCCUUCGGGUUGUAAAGCACUUUCAGCGGGGAGGAAGGCGAUAAGGUUAAUAACCUUGUCGAUUGACGUUACCCGCAGAAGAAGCACCGGCUAACUCCGUGCCAGCAGCCGCGGUAAUACGGAGGGUGCAAGCGUUAAUCGGAAUUACUGGGCGUAAAGCGCACGCAGGCGGUCUGUCAAGUCGGAUGUGAAAUCCCCGGGCUCAACCUGGGAACUGCAUUCGAAACUGGCAGGCUAGAGUCUUGUAGAGGGGGGUAGAAUUCCAGGUGUAGCGGUGAAAUGCGUAGAGAUCUGGAGGAAUACCGGUGGCGAAGGCGGCCCCCUGGACAAAGACUGACGCUCAGGUGCGAAAGCGUGGGGAGCAAACAGGAUUAGAUACCCUGGUAGUCCACGCCGUAAACGAUGUCGAUUUGGAGGUUGUGCCCUUGAGGCGUGGCUUCCGGAGCUAACGCGUUAAAUCGACCGCCUGGGGAGUACGGCCGCAAGGUUAAAACUCAAAUGAAUUGACGGGGGCCCGCACAAGCGGUGGAGCAUGUGGUUUAAUUCGAUGCAACGCGAAGAACCUUACCUGGUCUUGACAUCCACAGAACUUUCCAGAGAUGGAUUGGUGCCUUCGGGAACUGUGAGACAGGUGCUGCAUGGCUGUCGUCAGCUCGUGUUGUGAAAUGUUGGGUUAAGUCCCGCAACGAGCGCAACCCUUAUCCUUUGUUGCCAGCGGUCCGGCCGGGAACUCAAAGGAGACUGCCAGUGAUAAACUGGAGGAAGGUGGGGAUGACGUCAAGUCAUCAUGGCCCUUACGACCAGGGCUACACACGUGCUACAAUGGCAUAUACAAAGAGAAGCGACCUCGCGAGAGCAAGCGGACCUCAUAAAGUAUGUCGUAGUCCGGAUUGGAGUCUGCAACUCGACUCCAUGAAGUCGGAAUCGCUAGUAAUCGUAGAUCAGAAUGCUACGGUGAAUACGUUCCCGGGCCUUGUACACACCGCCCGUCACACCAUGGGAGUGGGUUGCAAAAGAAGUAGGUAGCUUAACCUUCGGGAGGGCGCUUACCACUUUGUGAUUCAUGACUGGGGUGAAGUCGUAACAAGGUAACCGUAGGGGAACCUGCGGUUGGAUCACCUCCUU